Molecule: microRNA precursor, 204 nt
Organism: Oryza sativa Japonica Group (Japanese rice)
Lineage: Eukaryota; Viridiplantae; Streptophyta; Magnoliopsida; Poales; Poaceae
Rfam family: MIR812 microRNA precursor family
Source: Rfam
UAUAAGUGCAAUCAUAAGUUUCCACGCCUAACUUUAAUCGUUCGUCUUAUUUUAAUUUUUUUUAUAAUUAGUAUUUUUAUUGUUAUGAGAUGAUAAAACAUGAAUAGUACAUUACUCGUGAUUUAUGAUUUUAAUUUUUUUAAAAAAUUUUUAAAUAAAACGGACGGUCAAAGUUGGACGCGGAAAAUCAUUGCUGCACUUAUA